GCCUAUAGCUCAGCUGGUUUAGAGCGCACGCCUGAUAAGCGUGAGGUCGAUGGUUCGAGUCCAUUUAGGCCC
This 72-nucleotide transfer RNA is filed under the name Pediococcus pentosaceus. It matches the Rfam family "tRNA". From Rfam's summary of the family: Transfer RNA (tRNA) molecules are approximately 80 nucleotides in length. Their secondary structure includes four short double-helical elements and three loops (D, anti-codon, and T loops). Further hydrogen bonds mediate the characteristic L-shaped molecular structure. tRNAs have two regions of fundamental functional importance: the anti-codon, which is responsible for specific mRNA codon recognition, and the 3' end, to which the tRNAs corresponding amino acid is attached (by aminoacyl-tRNA synthetases). tRNAs cope with the degeneracy of the genetic code in two manners: having more than one tRNA (with a specific anti-codon) for a particular amino acid; and 'wobble' base-pairing, i.e. permitting non-standard base-pairing at the 3rd anti-codon position. The record is from RNAcentral. RNAcentral also lists the same sequence under 4 other names. Lineage: Bacteria; Bacillati; Bacillota; Bacilli; Lactobacillales; Lactobacillaceae.